AUGCGCUUAGAAAGAUGGGGAAAGGCGGGGGAAGGGGGCAGGGAAUGGUGGCCCGGGCCGCUCUGCGCAUGNGGUGAAGCAGGCGGGGGCCACAAAGGCUUCCUGGCUCCCCUCGCAGGGGGUGGGGGCGGGCCUCCGGGCACCUGUCCCACCGGCCAAGCGAGCCGAGGGCGCGCUAGGCCCACCUGGCAAUCCCAGGGCGCGGGGGACCACCCCCCCCACGCUCAAGCGAGGAGGCGAGGCGGGCCGCGGAGAGACGACAGAGCGCCAUGCCCGCGUCGGGACUGUCCCGCCCUCGCUGCGGCCCAGCACCGGGGACCACCGACAGGUGACCGGCGCCAGGCGCCACCGGCCCCUCACCAGAUAGGCUCGCACAGACGCCGGCGUCCUUUCUUUGCGUGGCGUACGCCGGCUCGAACCCACGCAUCCAGUCGGCGCCGCAGCGGUGUGAACAGCGUGGCUGCCCCUGAGACCUCAGCGACCUCAGGUGAGAAGAGAAAUUCUCCUGUGUUUCCUGCUGCGCCUCUAACCUGA
RNAcentral lists this long non-coding RNA (534 nucleotides) under Vulpes vulpes (red fox). RNAcentral describes it as "lncRNA (ENSVVUG00000029023.1)". Lineage: Eukaryota; Metazoa; Chordata; Mammalia; Carnivora; Canidae. The record is from RNAcentral.